GCCGGGGGGGCCCAUGGGGCCGGGAGGACCGCGCUCGCCAGGGGAACCGGAGGGACCUUGCUUGCCGGGUUCACCCUGCGGAGGGGAGAGGACAGAGGGGUGUCGGACACCGGGGGUCCAGCGCUACCGCGAGCACCUUUGGGACCAGGAGCACCAACAGCACCCUGUGGAGGAAGAAGAAGAGGAGGAGAGGGCAUCCAGCCGGGGGACGGCCGUACCUUGUCACCAGGAGCACCAGCGGGGCCGGGGGGGCCGAUGGGGCCAGUCAGACCUCGGAGACCGUCUUUGCCAGGAGCGCCGUCAGCACCUUUGGGACCGGGGUCGCCCUGGGAGAGGAAGAUGAUGGUGGGAUGGAGAUCUGGGCACCUACCUUGGGACCGGCAAUGCCAUCAGCACCAGGGAAACCGCGGCUGCCGGGAGCACCCUGCGAGGGACAGGAGAAGGGCAGGCCACAGUGGGGGUGUCCCCUCCUGUGCCCCCCGGGGAGGACACCCCAGCAGGGAGCAUCUCACCUGGGGACCGGGGGGACCGCGCUCUCCGGGACGGCCGGGCUUUCCAGCUUCACCCUAAGGAGAAGGACACCAGUGGCACGAGGACGUGCGUCCCCACGUGUUUCCGUAGCCGUCGGGAAGGGUGGGACGCCCCGUCCUGCCCUCUCCCCAUCCCAUCCCACCCGGCCUCCUGCCACCCGAAGGGCCCCUUGGGGCUGCUUGUCCCCAGAAAGAGAGGGGAGGAGGAGAUACUCACAGGAGCACCAGGAGGACCGGGGAGACCGCGGGGACCAGCUGGACCCUGGGAAGGAGAACAGAAAGUGGGGAUGAGUGGCUGCCAUGUCACCCUGUCCCCAUCUCUGUCACCAUCAUCACCCAUUCCCUGUCCCCGUUGCCACCCCAUCCCUGUCUCCAUUGACAGCCCCUUGCUGUCCUCGUUGCCACCCCAUCCCUGUCCCCAUUGUCACCCCACUGCUACCCCAUCACCACCCCAUGCCUGUCCCCAUCACCUCCAGGACUGACGCCGCUCCCCAUCCCUCCCACUUCCCACCGCUCGGCGGCAUCCUCGGCAUCGCCGGCACGGGAUGCUUCGCCCGGCUUC
Molecule: long non-coding RNA, 1092 nt
Organism: Aquila chrysaetos chrysaetos
Lineage: Eukaryota; Metazoa; Chordata; Aves; Accipitriformes; Accipitridae
Exons: 6
Source: RefSeq, a predicted model, not a curated record